CUGUGCAGGAAACAAACUAUAAUAAGUUCAACAAUCAAGAUGCGUGCAUGCGCACCUUAAAGAAAGAGAGAGAAAGAUAAAAUAAAGAGUGAUGCACUUAACAGUUGAACCAAUCUUUGCCAGUGCUGACCCAUCAGCAGAUGCAACAGCCCCUAUAAAUUAGUCAGGUUCAAUUACAAUUAGCUAUAUAAAUAAUAUUCAUCUACAUUAUAAAGUGAAAAAUGGGCAAAUUCUACAAAAAGAAAAAGGCUUAAUU
Molecule: unclassified non-coding RNA, 256 nt
Filed under: Hevea brasiliensis (rubber tree)
Lineage: Eukaryota; Viridiplantae; Streptophyta; Magnoliopsida; Malpighiales; Euphorbiaceae
Source: RNAcentral